UGUGUUGUGUGUGAUGUCGAUGUUGUAGUACGUGGUGUUGUGUGUGUGUUUUAGGGUUAUGGUUAUGGUGCAAGAGCGGCGGUGAAGGAUGUUGAGCUGAUGAUGGCGAUGUUCUCGCCUGGAACGUAAUCGGGAAAUUAUGUGAGAGCAAAUGGCCGCAGCGUAUUUACAUCUGCUUUUUGCUGAAUAGCGAGAAGGGCCGUAAUGAAUUCCCCCUUGGUGUUGGGUGUCAACAUCAUCGCCUGCGACGAACGGCCAGCACGGAGGGAGGAGGCCUUGCCAGCCUCUCCUGGCGCUGGAGGUGCGGUUUCUGCGGGCGGCGAGCGAAGGUUAGUGCUAUUGGAGCAGGCCGAACGACGCGGGGCUACGGCCGGGGGAACGUCGCCUGGCAUUCUGUGCGGGGGGGGGGGGGAUUGGAGAUUCCGAUUCGGAAAGAAGGGAAUAUCCGUGGCUUCACCUGCGUCACUGAGCCGCAUGCGGAGAGCGGGAUGUGCGGCGGCAGCGGGACGGCGGGAGCGGGCCAGCAGCGCGGCGGCCGGACGCCACCCAGUCAGCGAGGCAGCCGGGCAGCCAGUGAGCGAGUGUGGCUAUUGCAGCACCUUCUCCCUCCUCCUUCUCCUCCCUCAUCCCUCCUCCGCCACCGCCGCCACCACCACCAGCCCCGCCACUACUACCGACCAGUCCCCGCCCUGACUGCCUCACAGACAGCAGUCCGCGCGCACUCUCGUCUCGUUGCGAUCCUUCUGAAUGCGGAUUCAGUGCCGAUUUCUUGACGAAUUUCGCCGCUCUGUGUGUGUGUGAUAAUCCGGAACCCAGUGCUUGGCCUCGUGUGCCGCCGCUCGUUUUGUUCUUGUUUUUGUUUUCCGUGAAUAUCCAAACCAAUAACAGGUUGCACACAUGACCAAUAGUCGUAAUAAGAGAAAGUUUCAUGUUUGUUAUUGACAGUCGCGUGUUGUUGAUACCUAUUGCCAUGGUCAGUUUAUCGCUGUGAUAACACUCAGGGCAGCACAUUCCCUCAGUGUUCCCAGGAUGUGCUCGCUAGUGCUGUGCGUUUCGGAGCUGUAAAGUGUGUUAGAAAAGUGACGCUAUUAUUUUUGUCAACCUCUGCUGCUCCCUCCUUCCCGCUCUACCCCGCCCCCCCCCUACUCGAAGAAAGGGUUGAAGAGAGGGUUUGAAGGAGCCUGUUGGGAGACGGGCGAGAGUAAGCUCGUAUUUUCUUGGGCGUCUUGGAGGCGACUUCUGGACGUGUGGGUGUGUUGGAUUCGCGUCGACGACUGUGGAGUGAAGGUAAUGAACCGCGCCGCGCACUCAGCGGGAACAGCAGAAGGUAAUUAACUAAUUAUGGUAGAGAGAGGGAGAGAGAGGGAAAGAGGGAGACAAAAAAGUCCGAUAAAUUAGCGGUGAGUAAAUAGCAGGAAGUGAAGAUGGGAUGGG
Molecule: non-coding RNA, 1434 nt
Organism: Penaeus vannamei (Pacific white shrimp)
Lineage: Eukaryota; Metazoa; Arthropoda; Malacostraca; Decapoda; Penaeidae
Source: RefSeq, a predicted model, not a curated record